AGCACCCAUGUACCAAACAGCCAAUGUGGCUGGAAGAUACUUUAUUAACUGUACCCUGAGAAGAAGGAAAAAAGAAUGUUUCAUCAAGAAGAGAUCCAGAGUUAAAAGCUAAAAAAAGAAAACCCAAAACCCCUACCUUAGCAGCCACUGGAGGAUUCCCUGGGAAGGGGGUUACUCUAUAACCAUAUUGAAACCAAGGAGCAAAUACUCUGAUAUGACCUACAUGUGAAGAGACCUCAAGGAAUCUGGAGUCUCCAACGUUAUCUGCUGGAUGGUCUGAACAACCUGGUAUAUCUAUACAAUGGAAUAUUAUUCACCAUGGCUUGGUAGCUUGUUUAUUUUUAUUGAAAAGAUAUGGAAGAACCUUAAAAACAUAUUGCUAAGGGAAAGAAAACAAUCUGAAAAGGUUACAUACUGUAUGAUUUCAAUAUAUGACAUUCUGGAAAAGAUAAAACUAUGGAGACAAAAAACAAAAACACAGUAGUUGCCAUGGUUUCCAGGGAAGGAAGGAAGUGAUGAAUAGGUAGAACACAGGAUUUUUAGAGCAGUGACCAAUUUUUCCAUAGGAUACUGUAAUGUUGGAUACAUGUCUUUAUACGUUAAAACCCACAAAGAGUUUGGCAAAGAGUAAACUCUAAACUAUAAACACUGUAUCAAUAUUGGCUCAACUGUAACAAAUGUACAUUUGUAUGUAUGUGUCAAUAACUGGAAAAACAGUAUAUAUGUGUGUUAUUUUUUGUGGGGAAGUGAAGUGAAGUAUAUAAAAACACUACUUUCCACUUAAUUUUUCUAUAUGUCUAAAAUUGUCACAAAGAUAAACUUCAGCAAUUAAAAACAUAGUGGGAAAAGUCUUUUCAAAGUAUGGGUUUACAACAAUGAAUAUGGACAAGAAAAUGGAUCUCAAGGGCCUACCUCACACAAAAAACUAAGAUUGAUCACAGACCUAAACAGAAAGGUAGAACUACAAAAAUUCUAGAAUUUUAAAAAAGAGUAUCUUAAAAACUGAGGGGUACACAAGUUUCUUAGGAUCCAGUAAGCAAUAACCACAGAAGUACAAUAUGACACACUGGACUGCAUCAAAAUUAAAAGCUGCUGUUUAUCCAAUGAUACCAUUAAAAGAUACAGACUGGGAAAAAAAUAUUGACAAUACAUUUAACUGAAAAGGAUUUGUAUUGUAACUGUAAAAAGAAAAGAAUUACUAUACUUCAAUAACAACACACCCAGUUAAAAGGGGACAAACUACUUGAACAGGCCCUUCUGACUGAAACACAGGAAAAAGGACUAAUGAGAAAA
Long non-coding RNA from Camelus dromedarius (Arabian camel), 1293 nucleotides. RefSeq lists it as uncharacterized. Lineage: Eukaryota; Metazoa; Chordata; Mammalia; Artiodactyla; Camelidae. The transcript is spliced from 3 exons. The record is from RefSeq and is a predicted model, not a curated record.